Molecule: ribosomal RNA, 253 nt
Filed under: uncultured bacterium
Lineage: Bacteria
Description: partial 16S ribosomal RNA
Rfam family: Bacterial small subunit ribosomal RNA
Source: RNAcentral
UACGUAGGGUGCAGGCGUUACUCGGAAUUACUGGGCGUAAAGCGUGCGCAGGCGGUCUUUUAAGUCAGAUGUGAAAUCCCCGGGCUUAACCUGGGAACUGCGUUUGAAACUGGAAGGCUUGAGUGUGGCAGAGGGGGGUGGAAUUCCACGUGUAGCAGUGAAAUGCGUAGAGAUGUGGAGGAACACCGAUGGCGAAGGCAGCCCCCUGGGCUAACACUGACGCUCAUGCACGAAAGCGUGGGGAGCAAACAGG